UACGAGGGGGGCGAGCGUUGUUCGGAAUUAUUGGGCGUAAAGCGUGCGCAGGCGGUUAUGUAAGACAGAUGUGAAAUGCCCGGGCUUAACCUGGGAACUGCAUUUGUGACUGCAUGGCUAGAGUUUGGCAGAGGGGGGUAGAAUUCCACGUGUAGCAGUGAAAUGCGUAGAUAUGUGGAGGAACACCGAUGGCGAAGGCAGCCCCCUGGGUCAAGACUGACGCUCAUGCACGAAAGCGUGGGGAGCAAACAGG
This 253-nucleotide ribosomal RNA is filed under the name uncultured bacterium. RNAcentral describes it as "partial 16S ribosomal RNA". It matches the Rfam family "Bacterial small subunit ribosomal RNA", at positions 524 to 776 of the family's 1533-position model. The record is from RNAcentral.